RNAcentral lists this unclassified non-coding RNA (332 nucleotides) under Hevea brasiliensis (rubber tree). Lineage: Eukaryota; Viridiplantae; Streptophyta; Magnoliopsida; Malpighiales; Euphorbiaceae. The record is from RNAcentral.
GAAAAUAUAGAGCUUAACUGUCAGAUCUUAUUUGCUUUUUAGUUUUACUUAAUAUUUGAAAAACUGGCCUAAUUGCACAACCAGAUAAGGCAUAAGGAUAAGGGUCAAAAGGUUUAAUCAGGAUAAAAACCAGGUUUCAAUUGGGGUCACAAUAAAUAUAUGUUUAUCACAUAUUGAGAAAAUAUAAUAAAAAAAAAGCAUUUUCAGAAUUUAUCUUGUAAUCUUUUUAUUUAUUUUCUGAACAUCUUGUACUCAAUAUAAGAAGCAAUGAGAUCACUAUUAUCAAUGUGGCUUGGUGGUAGUCACUACUAUAUCUAAACUUAAGGAGCUGG